AGAGUUUGAUCCUGGCUCAUCUUGAGCGCUGGCGGCAGGCUUAACACAUGCAAGUCGAACGGUAACAGAGAAUAGCUUGCUAUUUUGCUGACGAGUGGCGGACGGGUGAGUAAUGCUUGGGAAUUUGCCUUAUGGUGGGGGACAACAGUUGGAAACGACUGCUAAUACCGCAUAAUCUCUUCGGAGCAAAGCAGGGGACCUCCGGGCCUUGCGCCAUAAGAUGAGCCCAAGUGGGAUUAGCUAGUUGGUAAGGUAAUGGCUUACCAAGGCGACGAUCCCUAGCUGGUCUUAGAGGAUGACCAGCCACACUGGAACUGAGACACGGUCCAGACUCCUACGGGAGGCAGCAGUGGGGAAUAUUGCACAAUGGAGGAAACUCUGAUGCAGCCAUGCCGCGUGUGUGAAGAAGGCUUUCGGGUUGUAAAGCACUUUCAGCGAGGAGGAAAGGGUGCAUGUUAAUAGCAUGUAUCUGUGACGUUACUCGCAGAAGAAGCACCGGCUAACUCCGUGCCAGCAGCCGCGGUAAUU
Molecule: ribosomal RNA, 528 nt
Filed under: uncultured Psychromonas sp.
Lineage: Bacteria; Pseudomonadati; Pseudomonadota; Gammaproteobacteria; Alteromonadales; Psychromonadaceae
Description: bacterial SSU rRNA
Rfam family: Bacterial small subunit ribosomal RNA
Source: RNAcentral